AUUUAAAGAAAGCGUAACAGCUCACUGGUCUAAAUAAGGGUCUUUGCGCCGAAAAUGUAACGGGGCUAAAGCCAUGCACCGAAGCUGAGGAUACGUCGCAAGACGUGUGGUAGCGGAGCGUUCCGUAAGCCUGUGAAGGGAUACCCGUGAGGGGUCCUGGAGGUAUCGGAAGUGCGAAUGUUGACAUGAGUAACGAUAAAGAGGGUGAGAGACCCUCUCGCCGAAAGACCAAGGGUUCCUGCUUAAAGUUAAUCUGAGCAGGGUUAGCCGGCCCCUAAGACGAGGCGGACACGCGUAGUCGAUGGGAACCACGUUAAUAUUCGUGGGCCUGGUGGUAGUGACGGAUCGCUUAACUUGUUCACACUUAUUGGAUUGUGUGGGCGGGGACGCGGUUCCAGGAAAUAGCUCCACCGUAUAGACCGUACCCGAAACCGACACAGGUGGUCAGGUAGAGUAUACCAAGGCGCUUGAGAGAACUAUGCUGAAGGAACUCGGCAAAUUGCACGCGUAACUUCGGAAGAAGCGUGACCCCAAGGGACGCAAGUCUGUUGGGGUGGCACAGACCAGGGGGUAGCGACUGUUUAUCAAAAACACAGGGCUCUGCGAAGUCGCAAGACGACGUAUAGGGUCUGACGCCUGCCCGGUGCUGGAAGGUUAAGAGGAGGGGUGCAAGCUCUGAAUCGAAGCCCCAGUAAACGGCGGCCGUAACUAUAACGGUCCUAAGGUAGCGAAAUUCCUUGUCGGGUAAGUUCCGACCUGCACGAAUGGCGUAACGACUUCCCCGCUGUCUCCAGCAUAGACUCAGUGAAAUUGAAUUCCCCGUGAAGAUGCGGGGUUCCUGCGGUCAGACGGAAAGACCCCGUGCACCUUUACUAUAGCUUUACACUGGCAUUCGUGUCGGCAUGUGUAGGAUAGGUGGUAGGCUUUGAAGCAGGGACGCCAGUUCUUGUGGAGCCAUCCUUGAAAUACCACCCUUAUCGUCAUGGAUGUCUAACCGCGGUCCGUUAUCCGGAUCCGGGACAGUGUAUGGUGGGUAGUUUGACUGGGGCGGUCGCCUCCGAAAGAGUAACGGAGGCGCGCGAUGGUGGGCUCAGACCGGUCGGAAAUCGGUCGUCGAGUGCAAUGGCAUAAGCCCGCCUGACUGCGAGACUGACAAGUCGAGCAGAGACGAAAGUCGGUCAUAGUGAUCCGGUGGUCCCGCGUGGAAGGGCCAUCGCUCAACGGAUAAAAGGUACGCCGGGGAUAACAGGCUGAUGACCCCCAAGAGUCCAUAUCGACGGGGUUGUUUGGC
RNAcentral lists this ribosomal RNA (1291 nucleotides) under Sinorhizobium sp. GL2. RNAcentral's name for it is "bacterial LSU rRNA". It matches the Rfam family "Bacterial large subunit ribosomal RNA", at positions 1121 to 2522 of the family's 2925-position model. The record is from RNAcentral. Lineage: Bacteria; Pseudomonadati; Pseudomonadota; Alphaproteobacteria; Hyphomicrobiales; Rhizobiaceae.